CGAAGGCCGCUGGGGGCUGGGCUGUCAGGAGAUCUGCCCCGCGUGUGAGCACGGUGCCGUCUGCGAGCCCGGGACCGGAGCCUGCCUGUGCCGCCCCGGCUACACGGGCAGCCGCUGCCAGGACGCGUGCCCGGCGGGCUGGUUUGGGCCCGGCUGCCAGAUGAGGUGCUCCUGUGCCAAUGACGGGCACUGCCACCCGGUGACCGGACGUUGCAGCUGUGCCCCCGGGUGGACCGGCCUCAGCUGCCAGAGAGCCUGCGACAGCGGCCACUGGGGACCCAACUGCAGCCACACCUGCAGCUGCAGUGUAGGCCACGGGAGUUGCGAUGCGGUCAGCGGCCUGUGUGCGUGUGAGGCCGGC
This is a long non-coding RNA of Lynx canadensis (Canada lynx), 361 nucleotides long. RefSeq lists it as uncharacterized. NCBI's taxonomy places the organism in Eukaryota, Metazoa, Chordata, Mammalia, Carnivora, Felidae. The transcript has 3 exons. The record is from RefSeq and is a predicted model, not a curated record.